This 327-nucleotide RNase P RNA is filed under the name Helicobacter sp. MIT 05-5294. RNAcentral's name for it is "RNase P RNA component class A". It matches the Rfam family "Bacterial RNase P class A". From Rfam's summary of the family: Ribonuclease P (RNase P) is a ubiquitous endoribonuclease, found in archaea, bacteria and eukarya as well as chloroplasts and mitochondria. Its best characterised activity is the generation of mature 5'-ends of tRNAs by cleaving the 5'-leader elements of precursor-tRNAs. Lineage: Bacteria; Pseudomonadati; Campylobacterota; Epsilonproteobacteria; Campylobacterales; Helicobacteraceae. The record is from RNAcentral.
UAGGUGUAGCAAGUGGUUGCUCUAAACAGAGAGGAAAGUCCGAGCUGCAUUGGGAUAGGAUUCCAUUUAAAGAAUGGCUAGAGUAAUCUAAGGGAAAGCGCAACAGAAAACAAACCGCCCACCCAAAGGGGUAUGGCAAGGGUGAAAAGGCGAGGUAAAAGCUCACCAGAAGCAACGCAAGUUGCUUCGUAUUGCAAGCCCAAUCCGCAGCAAGAAAGGUAUGGUUAAUAUCCCAAAUUUUGAACCUUUCGCUAGAAUUUUGUUGCAAGACAAAAUCCAGAUAAAUAGCCACAUAAACAGAACUCGGCUUAUCGCUACACCUAAUUU